UAGUAGGGGUGUAUGAAUCCGGUAAAGCUGAAAAUAGAUGAGAAAAUGGCACGGGGAUAUGUUACAUUUUUAACAUUUCAAUAUAUAUUUCAUGAAAAAUGCAUUUAUAUCAUACAGUUGUAAUUAAAAUAGCCAUUUUAAAACGGUUCGUUUUAAUGCCUGAGGUGACUUCCCCUCAUGCGAGUUGGUUUCCCUUCUAAUUUCGUGUCCGUUUGUCAGACUCUCUACGUUACCGCGCGAAAGGAAAUUUAUGCAAAUUUCAAUUUUUAAGCCCAAUAUAUUGUUUAAAUGUUUGAAAUAUGUUUUUAAUCGACUUGUGUCUGUAAUCCUGAACUGUUCUGGUGUGUUGGUGCUUUAAACUCCCGUUGAGUUCAUCUCACGCGAGUCUCAGAUGGAGAAAUUUAUUCCGAUGAAGAGGUCAGGUCGGCAGAGGUAGCAGAUCAGUGGUGUGUAAGGGCAGAAUGAAAGGCUGCAUACAUUUCGUGGCCACCAUCUGCAGUGACAAAUCAAAGAGACCCGAACUCACAAACCAUAUGUGAGACUUGCUCAUGAAGUUAAGCACGACAAUGUGGUGUCUUUUUAUGAAUGGUAUGAGAGCAGCAACCAUCUGUGGUUGGUGGUGAAGAUGUGCACAGAUUUUGUUGGAUGUACUGGGAACUCUGAAGUACUCAGAUUUCUGCCUGGCUAAAGCUCAAGGAGAAAGUCUGGAGGAGUUCUUCUCUCUUAUGGCAGAGGAGACGGGAGCUGGAGACAGCAAAGACAACGUUAUCUCUCCACGAAACAUCAAGAACAGAAUUACAGGAGGUGUUGAGAGGAGCAGACAGCAGAGUCUGCAGUGACCUGUGGGCUUUAGGCUGCAUCCUAUUUGAGAUGAGCCCACUAAAGGGUUUACUUCAGAAGGACCCUGUGAAAAGGUUACGCUGGGACACUUUGUUAUCAAACCCAUUCUGGAGGAAAGCAUUUUCAGAGACAAGCAUCACUAUGGGAAAAGAGCAGGAUGAUGUCUCUCUCAAUGGUAUCCAGCCUGCAUUUGGCCUCUGUGUCUUCUCAGACAGCCGAGGAAGCCCAGACAGCACCUGCUGACCCUGCCAGCCCAAACCUCAGGAAGCCUUUCACAUUAGGUAA
Molecule: long non-coding RNA, 1125 nt
Organism: Carassius gibelio (silver crucian carp)
Lineage: Eukaryota; Metazoa; Chordata; Actinopteri; Cypriniformes; Cyprinidae
Exons: 7
Source: RefSeq, a predicted model, not a curated record